This 492-nucleotide ribosomal RNA is filed under the name uncultured bacterium. RNAcentral describes it as "partial 16S ribosomal RNA". It matches the Rfam family "Bacterial small subunit ribosomal RNA", at positions 29 to 507 of the family's 1533-position model. The record is from RNAcentral.
AGUGAACGCUGGCGGUAUGCUUAACACAUGCAAGUCGAACGGCAGCACAGUAAGAGCUUGCUCUUACGGGUGGCGAGUGGCGGACGGGUCAGGAAUACAUCGGAAUCUACUUUUUCGUGGGGGAUAACGUAGGGAAACUUACGCUAAUACCGCAUACGACCUACCGGUGAAAGCAGGGGAUCUUCGGACCUUGCGCGAUUGAAUGAGCCGAUGUCGGAUUAGAUAGUUGGCGGGGUUAAGACCCACCAUGGCGACGAUCCGUAGCUGGUCUGAGAGGAUGGUCGGCGACAUGAGAAGUGGGACAGGGUCCAGAGUCCUACGGGAGGGAGCAGAGGGGUAUGGUAGGCAGUGGGGGCGAGCCUGGUCCAGCCAUACCGCGUCGGUGGAGGAGGCGUUCGGGUUGUAAAGCCCUUUUGUUGGGUAAGAAAAGCAGCAGGUUAAUACCCAGCUGUUCUGACGGUAACGAAAGAAUAAGCACCGGCUAACUUCGUG